AAAUACUGGUGGGAGACCGAUAGCAAACAAGUACCGUGAGGGAAAGUUUAAAAGCACUUUGAAAAGAGAGUGAAAAGAACCUGAAACCGCUAGGGGGGAAGCGAAUUGCGCUGAUAUGUGAGAGGAGUGUCGAUCAGUGGGUGAAACCGCGUACUCUGCACUUUUUCUCUGCCGUCAUGGGUUUGUAGUGGUGGAUUUUGCACUGCUGCAGGCCGAGGGAUCCCUUUUAUAGGUGACGAUGAUGGAUUUGUCGGUGCGAUUCGACCCGUCUUGAAACACGGACCAAGGAGUCUAGCGUACCUGCGAGUCAAAGGGUGUGAAAACCUGAGGGCGCAGUGAAAGCGAAUCUAUUGAAAAUGGUGCAAUUUGAGGCGGCAUACGAUCUUUGAUUGUAAGUCCGACCUAGAGCAGAUAUGCUAGGACCCGAAAGAUGGUGAACUAUGCUUGAGUAGGGCGAAGCCAGAGGAAACUCUGGUGGAGGCUCGUAGCGGUGCUGACGUGCAAAUCGCUCGUCAAACUUGAGUAUAGGGGCGAAAGACUAAUCGAACCAUCUAGUAGCU
Molecule: ribosomal RNA, 560 nt
Filed under: Delesseria sanguinea
Lineage: Eukaryota; Rhodophyta; Florideophyceae; Ceramiales; Delesseriaceae
Description: eukaryotic LSU rRNA
Rfam family: Eukaryotic large subunit ribosomal RNA
Source: RNAcentral